This 1487-nucleotide ribosomal RNA is filed under the name Candidatus Rehaiarchaeum fermentans. RNAcentral's name for it is "bacterial SSU rRNA". It matches the Rfam family "Archaeal small subunit ribosomal RNA". Lineage: Archaea; Nanobdellati; Candidatus Parvarchaeota. The record is from RNAcentral.
AUUCCAGUUGAUUCUGCUGGAGAUGACCACUAGAGGAGUUGGGCUGAGACAUGCAAGUUUUAUCUGCCGGCAAGGCAGAUGGCGGACGGCUGAGGUAAAACACAGAUAACAUACCCUGUGGUCUUGGAUAUCCUCGGGAAACUGAGGGUAAACCAAGAUAGCAGUUAUUUCUGGAAUGAUUUAACUGCGAAAGAGCAUAACUGUUGCCGUUAUGUUCGCCACAGGAUUGGUCUGUGCCCCAUCAGGUAGUUGGCGGGGUAACGGCCCACCAAGCCUAAGACGGGUAGGGGUAGUUGGCGCUAUAUCCCCCAGAGGCGCACUGAGACAAGGGCGCCAGCGCUUCGGCGUGCAGCAGUCCCGAAUUCUCUGCAAUGCGCGUAAGCGUGACAGGGCAACUCCUCGUGUAGCAUUUCUCUUUAGAAAUGCUACUUUUGCCAUGCGAUGAAAUAGCAUGGAGAAUAAGGGCUGGGUAAACGGGUGCCAGCACCCGCGGUAAUACCCGUAGCCCGAGUGGUCAUCACAUUUACUGGGUCUAAAGCGUCCGUAGCUGGCUAAAGACAUACGCACUUAAAUUGCUUGGCUCAACCAAGCAGCUGGUGCGUAUAUUCUUUAGCUAGGGGUCGGGAGGAGGGAAGGGUACUCCAUGGGUAAGAGCCAAAUCUACCGAGCCAUGGAAGACCGGCAGUGGCGAAGGCGCUUCCCUAGAACGAACCCGACAGUGAGGGACGAAGGCUGGGAGAACGAACCGGAUUAGAUACCCGGGUAGCCCCAGCAGUAAACGCUGCUCACUAAGUGUUGCAAUUCCCUCGUGGAAUUGCAGUGCUUAAGCGAAGGCGUUAAGUGAGCCACCUGGGGAGUACAGCCGCAAGGCCGAAACUUAAAGAAAUUGGCGGGGGGGCACAAAAACGGGUGAGAUAUGCGGUUCAAUUGGAGUCAACUCCGGGAACCUUACCAGGGCCGACAGCAGGAUGAAGCUCAGACUAAAGAUCUUAGCUAACGCGCUGAGAGGUGCUGCAUGGCCGUCGUCAGCUAGUAUUGUGAAACGUCCCGUUAAGUCGGGUAACUAGCAAGACCCUCAUCUCUAUUUGCUAACGCCCUCGUGGGAGCGAGCAAAAUAGAGAGACUGCCCUCGAAAGGGGGAGGAAGGUGAGGGCGACGGCAGGUCAGUAUGGCCCGAAUGCCCUGGGCUACACGCGUAUCGCAUUGCUAGCGGCAAUGGGAUGCAACUCCGAAAGGAGAAGCCAAUCCUCUAAUCGCUAGCCUGGUUAGGAUUGAGGCCUGCAACUCGGCCUCAUGAAUGCGGAAUCCGUAGUAACCGCGAAAUAGCGAUUCGCGGUGAAUACUUCCCUGCCCCCUGCACACACUGCCCGUCACGCCAGUCAAGUCGGGAUUUGAUGAGGUGCUCAAAGCAUCGAAUCAAAUCUCGAUGAGAAGGGCGAAGUCGCCACAAGGUAGCCGUACGGGAACGUGCGGCUGGAUCACCUCUU